This 1208-nucleotide ribosomal RNA is filed under the name Myzostoma khanhkhoaensis. RNAcentral describes it as "SSU rRNA". It matches the Rfam family "Eukaryotic small subunit ribosomal RNA", at positions 555 to 1801 of the family's 1831-position model. The record is from RNAcentral. Lineage: Eukaryota; Metazoa; Annelida; Myzostomida; Myzostomatidae.
GGGCAAGUCUGGUGCCAGCAGCCGCGGUAAUUCCAGCUCCAAUAGCGUAUAUUAAAGUUGUUGCAGUUAAAAAAGCUCGUAGUUGGAUCUCAGUGUGACGGCGCCGGUUCACUUUAUGGUGGUACUGACGCAUGUUAACCUUUCUCACGGAUGAGGUAGAUACUCUUCAUUGAGUGUCUAUCUUUAAUCCGCGACGUUUACUUUGAACAAAUUGGAGUGCUUCAAGCAGGCUUCUCGCCUGAACAUUUAUGCAUGGAAUAAUGAAAUAUGACCUGAUCAUAUUUUCGUUGGUUUGAUGCGAUCAGGUAAUGAUUGAGAGGGACAUACGGGGACAUUCGUAUUGUGGCGGGAGAGGUGAAAUUCUACGAUCGCUACAAGACGCACUAAUGCAAUGGCAGCUGUCAAGCGUGUUUCCAUCAAUCAAGAGCGAAAGUCAGAGUYUCGAAGACGAUUAGAUACCGACCUAGUUCUGACUGUAAACCAUGUCGGCUGGCGAUCUGCUGAUUAAUGAUAACACAGACCAGUGGGCAGCCCUCGGGAAACCAAAGCUUUUGGAUUCCGGGGGAAGUAUGGUUGCAAAGCUGAAACUUAAAGGAAUUGACGGAAGGGCACCACCAGGAGUGGAGCCUGCGGCUUAAUUUGACUCAACACGUGGAAUCUCACCAGGUCCGGACAUAGUAAGGAUUGACAGAUUGAGAGCUCUUUCUCGAUUCUAUGGAUGGUGGUGCAUGGCCGUUCUUAGUUGGUGGAGCGAUUUGUCAGGUUAAUUCCGAUAACGAACGAGACUCUAGCCUGCAAACUAGAGACCCCUCACAUGGUGAGAGGGUAUACUUCUUUGAGGGACAAUCGGCAUUUAGUCGAACGAGAAAGAGCAAUAACAGGUCUGUGAUGCCCUUAGAUGUUCUGGGCCGCACGCGCGCUACACUGAAAGAUACAACGGGUAUCUCACUUUGCUCGGAAGAGUUGAGUAACCCUGCAGCGUCUUUCGUGCCAGGGAUCGGGGAUUGCAAUUAUUUCCCGUGAACGAGGAAUUCCCAGUAAGCGCGAGUCAUCAGCUCGCGUUGAUUACGUCCCUGCCCUUUGUACACACCGCCCGUCGCUACUACCGAUUGGAUUAGUACGUGAGGAGUUUGGACUUGAACUGUCCCGGGGGCUUUGUUCCUGGCUCGGCUCGGGGAAGAACGCCAAAUGUAUUUUGUCUAGAGGAA